Molecule: transfer RNA, 65 nt
Filed under: Pherusa bengalensis
Lineage: Eukaryota; Metazoa; Annelida; Polychaeta; Terebellida; Flabelligeridae
Description: tRNA-Gly
Source: RNAcentral
GCCUUUUUAGUAUAACAAGUACAGUUGCCUUCCAAGUAACAAGUUUAAAUAUUUUAAAAAAGGUA